Molecule: ribosomal RNA, 119 nt
Filed under: Schistocephalus solidus
Lineage: Eukaryota; Metazoa; Platyhelminthes; Cestoda; Diphyllobothriidea; Diphyllobothriidae
Source: RNAcentral
GUCUAAUACUUAAAAAGGUAGAAAGCACUGGUUCUCGUCCGAUCACCGAAAUUAAGCUACGUUGGGCCCGGUUGGUACUUGCAUAGGCGACCGGCUAGGAAUACCGGGUGUUACUGACG